GCUCAACCGGGGAGGGUCAUUGGAAACUGGGGAACUUGAGUGCAGAAGAGGAGAGUGGAAUUCCACGUGUAGCGGUGAAAUGCGUAGAGAUGUGGAGGAACACCAGUGGCGAAGGCGACUCUCUGGUCUGUAACUGACGCUGAGGCGCGAAAGCGUGGGGAGCGAACAGGAUUAGAUACCCUGGUAGUCCACGCCGUAAACGAUGAGUGCUAAGUGUUAGAGGGUUUCCGCCCUUUAGUGCUGCAGCAAACGCAUUAAGCACUCCGCCUGGGGAGUACGGUCACAAGACUGAAACUCAAAGGAAUUGACGGGGGCCCGCACAAGCGGUGGAGCAUGUGGUUUAAUCCGAAGCAACGCGAAGAACCUUACCAGGUCUUGACAUCCUCUGACAACCCUAGAGAUAGGGCUUCCCCUUCGGGGGGCAGAGUGACAGGUGGUGCAUGGUUGUCGUCAGCUCGUGUCGUGAGAUGUUGGGUUAAGUCCCGCAACGAGCGCAACCCUUGAUCUUAGUUGCCAGCAUUCAGUUGGGCACUCUAAGGUGACUGCCGGUGACAAACCGGAGGAAGGUGGGGAUGACGUCAAAUCAUCAUGCCCCUUAUGACCUGGGCUACACACGUGCUACAAUGGGCAGAACAAAG
RNAcentral lists this ribosomal RNA (638 nucleotides) under uncultured bacterium. RNAcentral's name for it is "bacterial SSU rRNA". It matches the Rfam family "Bacterial small subunit ribosomal RNA", at positions 607 to 1244 of the family's 1533-position model. The record is from RNAcentral.